CAGUAGCCGCGGGAAUACGGAGGGUGCAAGCGUUAAUCGGAAUUACUGGGCGUAAAGCGCACGCAGGCGGUCUGUCAAGUCAGAUGUGAAAUCCCCGGGCUUAACCUGGGAACUGCAUUUGAAACUGGCAGGCUAGAGUCUUGUAGAGGGGGGUAGAAUUCCAGGUGUAGCGGUGAAAUGCGUAGAGAUCUGGAGGAAUACCGGUGGCGAAGGCGACCCCCUGGACAAAGACUGACGCUCAGGUGCGAAGGCGUGGGGAGCAAACAGGAUUAGAUACCCGUGUAGUCCCUGUCUCUUAUAC
RNAcentral lists this ribosomal RNA (301 nucleotides) under uncultured bacterium. RNAcentral describes it as "partial 16S ribosomal RNA". It matches the Rfam family "Bacterial small subunit ribosomal RNA", at positions 509 to 807 of the family's 1533-position model. The record is from RNAcentral.